GUUUUUUUUUUUUUUCUCGAAUAUUAAACACAAUUUUCAGAUACCGUUACAAUACUGUACUCAUUUUUUCGCCAAUUUUAAUGAUAGUGUUUGUAUAACCUAUACUCCCUUGUUAAUUAUCGUCCCCGUUUUGUCAAAAUUGGAUUAUCCCAAUUCAUUGAUGGCACCUCCUUAUUUUACGCAAAAGGAAGUGCCUUUCUGUCGAUCUGAACCUCACCAGUUUCGAUGUUCCCAAUAAGUAAACAAGGUGACGAAACGAUCAACGAUAUGGCGACAUAAGGGAAACGCCGAUGCAAUCGAACAGUUAAUGAUUUUAUAAUUAUAUGCCAUCCUACGAAACUAAGGACCUUCGGCGCGAUAAAAACAAAAAGGGAAAAAAAAAAGAAACAAGCGUUGUGUUUACGCUUUGCGAUAUAAUUACUGGGCGUCGUCUCGGUAUCAGAAGGCGUGAAAAACUUUUUAAAAAACUCCUAAUUCAGUCACAAGAAAAUCUAAACGAGGUUAAGGCUCCUUUAAAUCUAGUCCGAUUUCGGAUUUUUAACUGUAGUUUUGUCGGUGUUGUUGUCGUCGUCGUUGUUGUUGUUUUUGCGAUUAUUAUCCAACUGGUUACUGACCUACAUACGCGUUUAUUAUUCGUGUCGCGUAUAAGCUAUCACAUGGGUAACAUCCGACACUUGUAUAUAUAUAUAUAUACGUAGUGUGUUGGCAUACCAGAGAGAGAGAGAUGGCCGAAGGUGGACAGGUGUAAUACUUGCCUGACACGUUAAGUGUCAAAAGGCAAAAAGGGGGGAUAAUAACUGAAGGCUGUUUUUAAAUACGAUAAAUAAUAACAAAGUAUUAAUCCUUCCCAUUUGCGGGUUUUCCCGUUAAUUACAUCGUCAAGGAUGAACUCUCGACAAUGCGAAUUAACCGGGUAGAAUUCGUUAUAAACAAAUUCGCAUUCUUUAUAAGAUCGAUUAUGACGUUCACUCCCUUUUCUUCGUAUUACGUCGCCUAUUAAGCCGAACAGGGAAAAUCCUAGAGCGAUCAAGGAGAACGAUUUCGUAACCGACGGACUUUAAUCACGAUUAGAUAUUUCAGUAUUUUUGUAAUUCGGAGAUGAAACAAAACAAACAAAAAAAUAAUAAAAAAUAACGCGUAAUCGAAACUUCUUUAGCCCCGUUUACUCUCACUAUAAAUUCGAUCCGACUUAUCCGCAAAUACGCGCAUAUUGUAUUCAAGAUUUCUGUGGAAUUCCUCUCGUCGACCGUGGUAUGCGAUGGAUUUUUAUACCCUAAAUUUUGAGCCUCUGGUAGGUAGUAAAUGCCGUCUGGGAAUCUGGUUCAUGAUCGAUCGAUUGUGCUGUAUUUUUCUUCUGGGGCCAUCGCGACGACCUUGCGUACCAUUAAGGUACUCGCACCGCCAGUUUCGAAUCGGCGAUAAAGAAAAGGAAUCUUGUUCAUUAACGCUCGGUGUUCCGAUAUAAACAUUCUUAUCUAAUCGAACUACUUCGUCGAUUGUUAUUCUCCAAUAGAAAUCAUAAGUGUUUGACUUUAAUUAAGUAAUGUAUGGUGGCCGAUUUAAUUGCGUAGGUCCCGUAUCGCAUUUUGAUUUGGUUUUUUUUUUUUAACUGGCGUCGUUAACGUUUUUAGCCGGUAGGAGGCUCGUACGACUGAAGUGUCAAUCAAUCGAAAGGGAAACGUUUUUUAAAAAAUAAUUUCAAAAACUAUUGGUUAAUGCGGAAUAUAUAUUUAAAAAAAUAAUAACCAAUGACAGACGUGCACGCGUUUAUGACGACUUAUCAGGCAGCGGCGGCGUUUCUACAAAAUAAUUAUAUUUUUUAAUGACGUAAUUAAUUUAAAAAUGGUAUUUCGAGUAGCAUUUAAGAAUAGUUUGGGGGGGCGAAAGAAUAGCGCGCUAGGGAAUAUCACAGUAUCUGGCUGCAGAGUUUGGAUAAGAGUGACACGAAGCCUAAUCAAAACCCGUAAACACUGAAGAACAAGUAUUUCUGGAACCCCACUGACCUACUUUCUGUUGCUCUGCAGUUCUGUUCACGGCGCCGGUGCAGUUCUGUGCACUUUGUCCCUUCCCUAUCGACAAGGAGCGACAUCUCGUCCUUUUUCUUCCUCCUUUUUUUUUGUUUUGUUUACCAGAGUUGUUUACCAGAUAACAUUCCAAGCCGGCGCAGUAUUUAAGGUUGAGGCAACGCGGAAGGGACUAUUCGAUUUUUCGAUACGAGCUUUGGCUUCCGAUUACCUUCGCCACUAACGAUGUAAUUUGGCAAAAAUCGACAUUUUAUUUUAUUUUUUUUUUUAUGGAACGAAAUAUUAGUUCGUUAAAUAACGUUCACGUAUAAUAAAAAAAAAAAACUGCUUUAAUGAUUUAAUGCGAUUUCGGAUAUUUUACCGGAAAGAACGCAUGCGCGGAUCCCUAUCGUGCCUACUGUCACGUGACGGCCUACAGAGUGUGGAAAACUGUAAACAAGUCGGGGCGCCGGCUGGUGCUCGUUCUCCGAACUAAUUAGAUUAUCCCGUUAAUUUUCGAAAUUUUAUUUUAAUUUAAAUUAAACGGGAUGUUGCCAGACGGUUAAAUCGUCGCCAUGGGUCAUUGGGUAUAUUAUUAUUAUUAAUUAUUUUUAUUUUUUAUCGAUUGAGAGAAUUCAGCUACUAUCACCAUUGACCAGCGAUAAAUGAUUGGUUGACAAAU
This 2685-nucleotide long non-coding RNA is filed under the name Androctonus crassicauda. Lineage: Eukaryota; Metazoa; Arthropoda; Arachnida; Scorpiones; Buthidae. The record is from RNAcentral.